GACGAAGGAUGCAAGCGUUAUCCGGAUUCAUUGGGUUUAAAGGGAGCGUAGGUGGCCUUAUAAGUCAGUGGUGAAAUCUUCGAGCUUAACUCGGAAAUUGCCAUUGAUACUGUAGGGCUUGAGUAUAGUUGCCGUUGGCGGAAUAUGACAUGUAGUGGUGAAAUACAUAGAGAUGUCAUAGAACACCGAUUGCGAAGGCAGCUGACGAAACUAUAACUGACACUGAGGCUCGAAAGUGCGGGGAGCAAACAGG
RNAcentral lists this ribosomal RNA (253 nucleotides) under uncultured bacterium. RNAcentral's name for it is "partial 16S ribosomal RNA". It matches the Rfam family "Bacterial small subunit ribosomal RNA", at positions 524 to 776 of the family's 1533-position model. The record is from RNAcentral.